This 490-nucleotide ribosomal RNA is filed under the name uncultured bacterium. RNAcentral's name for it is "bacterial SSU rRNA". It matches the Rfam family "Bacterial small subunit ribosomal RNA", at positions 30 to 517 of the family's 1533-position model. The record is from RNAcentral.
AUUGAACGCUGGCGGCAUGCCUAACACAUGCAAGUCGAACGGAGGUAGGGGCAACUCUACUUCAGUGGCGGACGGGUGAGGAAUGCGUCGGAAUCUACCCUAUGGUGGGGGAUAACACAGGGAAACUUGUGCUAAUACCGCAUAAUGUCGAGAGACCAAAGCAGGGGACCGCAAGGCCUUGCGCGAUAGGAUGAGCCGACGCCCGAUUAGCUUGUUGGUAGGGUAAUGGCCUACCAAGGCGACGAUCGGUAGCUGGUCUGAGAGGAUGAUCAGCCACACUGGGACUGAGACACGGCCCAGACUCCUACGGGAGGCAGCAGUGGGGAAUAUUGGACAAUGGGCGCAAGCCUGAUCCAGCAAUGCCGCGUGUGUGAAGAAGGCCUGCGGGUUGUAAAGCACUUUUGUUCGGGAAGAAAUCAUGCUGGUUAAUACCUGGUAUGGAUGACGGUACCGAAAGAAUAAGCACCGGCUAACUUCGUGCCAGCAGCCG